GCGUAUAUUAAAGUUGUUGCAGUUAAAAAGCUCGUAGUUGAAUUUCGGGUUUCCGGCGCUCCCGCUUCAUUGCGGGGACACGGGGACCCUCCUCGCCUUAGGGCGUCAUUUACUGUGAAAAAAUUAGAGUGUUCAAAGCAGGCAAUCGCUUGAAUACAUUAGCAUGGAAUAAUAAGAUAGGAUUACGUCUAUUUUGUUGGUUGCGGACGAUAAUAAUGAUUAAUAGGGAUAGUUGGGGGUGUCCGUAUUGAGCUGUCAGAGGUGAAAUUCUUGGAUUUGCUCAAGACGAACUACUGCGAAAGCAUUCACCAAGGAUGUUUUCAUUAAUCAAGAACGAAAGUCAGGGGAUCGAAGAGGAUUAGAUACCCUCGUAGUCUUGACCAUAAACUAUGCCGACUCGGGAUUGGCAGACGUUGUAUCGACUCUGUCAGCACCGUAUGGUAAACCAAAGUCUUUGGGUUCCGGGGGGAGUAUGGUCGCAAGGCUGAAACUUAAAGGAAUUGACGGAAGGGCACCACCAGGAGUGGAGCCUGCGGCUUAAUUUGAC
RNAcentral lists this ribosomal RNA (547 nucleotides) under uncultured marine picoplankton. RNAcentral describes it as "SSU rRNA". It matches the Rfam family "Eukaryotic small subunit ribosomal RNA", at positions 597 to 1199 of the family's 1831-position model. The record is from RNAcentral.